GAUGAACGCUGGCGGCGUGCCUAAUACAUGCAAGUCGAGCGAACAGACGAGGAGCUUGCUCCUCUGACGUUAGCGGCGGACGGGUGAGUAACACGUGGAUAACCUACCUAUAAGACUGGGAUAACUUCGGGAAACCGGAGCUAAUACCGGAUAAUAUAUUGAACCGCAUGGUUCAAUAGUGAAAGACGGUUUUGCUGUCACUUAUAGAUGGAUCCGCGCCGCAUUAGCUAGUUGGUAAGGUAACGGCUUACCAAGGCAACGAUGCGUAGCCGACCUGAGAGGGUGAGCGGCCACACUGGCACUGCGCCAUCGUCCAGCCGACGCAGGGAGGCGCAAGGAGGCGAGAGUCCUGCAGGGGUGAAGGACUGACGGAUCAAAUCUGCGGCAUUAAUGAAGGUCUCAGGAUCGUAACACUUCGUGACUAGGGAAGAACAAAAGUGUACGCAACUCUGCACGCCUGCACGGGAGGUAAUCAGAAAGCCACGGCUAACUACGUG
Molecule: ribosomal RNA, 497 nt
Filed under: uncultured bacterium
Lineage: Bacteria
Description: partial 16S ribosomal RNA
Rfam family: Bacterial small subunit ribosomal RNA
Source: RNAcentral